This 403-nucleotide ribosomal RNA is filed under the name uncultured bacterium. Its description in RNAcentral is "bacterial SSU rRNA". It matches the Rfam family "Bacterial small subunit ribosomal RNA", at positions 355 to 775 of the family's 1533-position model. The record is from RNAcentral.
UAGGGAAUAUUAGUAAUGGGCGAAAGCCUGAACUAGCAACGCCGCGUGUGCGAAGAAGGCCUUCGGGUUGUAAAGCAUUUUUUGAGAGGAUGAGGAAGGACGGUACUCUCAGAAUAAGUCUCGGCUAACUACGUGCCAGCAGCCGCGGUAACACGUAGGAGGCGAACGUUAUCCGGAUUUACUGGGCGUAAAGCGCGUGUAGGUGGUUUGGUAAGUAGGGCGUGAAAGCUCCUGGCUCAACUGGGAGAGGCCGUUCUAAACUGCCGAACUAGAGGAUGGUAGAGGGAGGUUGAAUUCCGGGUGUAGCCGUGGAAUGCGCAGAUAUCCGGAGGAACACCAGUUGCGUAAGCGGCCUCCUGGACCACUCCUGACACUCAGACGCGAAAGCUAGGGUAGCAAACGG